UGCCCCGCGCUCCGGGACAACCGCUGGAAACGGCGGCUAAUACCGGAUGCUCCGGGGAGGCCCCAUGGCCUCCCCGGGAAAGCCUUGACGGCGCGGGAUGGGGUCGCGGCCCAUUAGGUAGACGGCGGGGUAACGGCCCACCGUGCCCGCGAUGGGUAGCCGGACUGAGAGGUCGACCGGCCACAUUGGGACUGAGAUACGGCCCAGACUCCUACGGGAGGCAGCAGUGGGGAAUUUUGCGCAAUGGGGGGAACCCUGACGCAGCAACGCCGCGUGCGGGACGAAGGCCUUCGGGUUGUAAACCGCUUUCAGCAGGGAAGACAUAGACGGUACCUGCAGAAGAAGCUCCGGCUAACUACGUGCCAGCAGCCGCGGUAAUACGUAGGGGGCGAGCGUUAUCCGGAUUCAUUGGGCGUAAAGCGCGCGUAGGCGGCCGCCUAAGCGGAACCUCUAAUCCCGGGGCUCAACCUCGGGCCGGGUUCCGGACUGGGCGGCUCGAGUGCGGUAGAGGCAGGCGGAAUUCCCGGUGUAGCGGUGGAAUGCGCAGAUAUCGGGAAGAACACCGAUGGCGAAGGCAGCCUGCUGGGCCGCCACUGACGCUGAGGCGCGAAAGCUGGGGGAGCGAACAGGAUUAGAUACCCUGGUAGUCCCAGUCGUAAACGAAAGGCGCUAGGUGUGGGGGGACCAUCCCCCCGUGCCGCAG
RNAcentral lists this ribosomal RNA (703 nucleotides) under uncultured bacterium. RNAcentral describes it as "bacterial SSU rRNA". It matches the Rfam family "Bacterial small subunit ribosomal RNA", at positions 127 to 851 of the family's 1533-position model. The record is from RNAcentral.